RNAcentral lists this ribosomal RNA (314 nucleotides) under uncultured bacterium. Its description in RNAcentral is "bacterial SSU rRNA". It matches the Rfam family "Bacterial small subunit ribosomal RNA", at positions 29 to 353 of the family's 1533-position model. The record is from RNAcentral.
AACGAACGCUGGCGGCAGGCCUAACACAUGCAAGUCGAACGCCGUAGCAAUACGGAGUGGCAGACGGGUGAGUAACGCGUGGGAACACUACCCCUCGGUUCGGAAUAACUUAGGGAAACUUGAGCUAAUACCGGAUACGUCCGUAGGUUUUAACCGGCCUCGGAGAAAGUAUUUAUCGCCGGAGGAUUCGGCCCGCGUCUGAUUAGCUUGUUGGUGAGGUAAUGGCUCACCAAGGCGACGAUCAGAGCUGGUCUGAGAGGAUGAUCAGCCACAUUGGGACUGAGACACGGCCCAAACUCCUACGGGAGGCAGCA